UACGGAGGAUCCGAGCGUUAUCCGGAUUUAUUGGGUUUAAAGGGUGCGCAGGCGGGAUGUUAAGUCGGCGGUGAAAUUUUGCAGCUCAACUGUAAAAGUGCCUUCGAUACUGGCUUCCUUGAGUGUGGAUGAAGUAGGCGGAAUUUGUGGUGUAGCGGUGAAAUGCUUAGAUAUCACGAGGAACUCCGAUUGCGCAGGCAGCUUACUAAACCACUACUGACGCUCAUGCACGAAGGCGUGGGGAUCAAACAGGAUUAGAUACCCCGGUA
Molecule: ribosomal RNA, 269 nt
Filed under: uncultured prokaryote
Description: partial 16S ribosomal RNA
Rfam family: Bacterial small subunit ribosomal RNA
Source: RNAcentral